RNAcentral lists this ribosomal RNA (501 nucleotides) under Triticum aestivum (bread wheat). RNAcentral's name for it is "partial small subunit ribosomal RNA". Lineage: Eukaryota; Viridiplantae; Streptophyta; Magnoliopsida; Poales; Poaceae. The record is from RNAcentral.
AUGGCGGCUCGCCGGGCUGUGCGACGCGACGGCUCCCACGGCUCCUCGCGCUGGGCAUGGCGGCCAGUUCGGCUGUCGAAGCGACGGCUCCCGCGGCUCCCGUGGAGGCAAAAAACGCACAGGCAGAUCCGAGCGUCUCCUCUCUACAGUGGCGUUCACAGUGAUCACCGGAGGCACGACGCAGCAAACGUACUCCCGCCGCCCAGAACCUGCUCGACGGAAUGCCCCUUAGAAAGAGAUGUGAAGAAGAUAGCGUUACAGUCAUCGACAGGUAGGACCCACGUUUUUUUUGCCACAUCAGCUGGUCAAAGUUUUUAUCUUCGCCACGUCAGCCCGACAGGUGGGGCCAAACUGUCAGUUUUCCUGUUUUUGCGAGCAAAUCGGACAAUCAGUGCUCCGCGUUACCGAUUAGGCACAAAGUUGGUGGUUUUUUGUGCCCUGGCACAAAUAUGGUACCAAGUUGCUACCCUAGCCCCAAGUAUGGUGAUUUUGCGUAAAUAA